RNAcentral lists this ribosomal RNA (484 nucleotides) under uncultured bacterium. Its description in RNAcentral is "partial 16S ribosomal RNA". It matches the Rfam family "Bacterial small subunit ribosomal RNA", at positions 30 to 507 of the family's 1533-position model. The record is from RNAcentral.
AUUGAACGCUGUCGGCAGGCCUAACACAUGCAAGUCGAGCGGAUGAAGGGAGCUUGCUCCUGGAUUCAGCGGCGGACGGGUGAGUAAUGCCUAGGAAUCUGCCUGGUAGUGGGGGAUAACGUCCGGAAACGGGCGCUAAUACCGCAUAAGUCCUGAGGGAGAAAGUGGGGGAUCUUCGGACCUCACGCUAUCAGAUGAGCCUAGGUCGGAUUAGCUAGUUGGUGGGGUAAAGGCCUACCAAGGCGACGAUCCGUGACUGGUCUGAGAGGAUGAUCAGUCAUCAUGGAACUGAGACACGGUCCAGACUCCUACGGGAGGCAGCAGUGGGGAAUAUCGGACAAUGGGCGAAAGCCUGAUCCAGCCAUGCCGCGUGUGUGAAGAAGGUCUUCUGAUUGUAAAGCACUUUAAGUUGGGAGGAAGGGCAGUAAGUUAAUACCUUGCUGUUUUGACGUUACCAACAGAAUAAGCGCCGGCUAACUUCGUG